RNAcentral lists this ribosomal RNA (484 nucleotides) under uncultured bacterium. RNAcentral describes it as "partial 16S ribosomal RNA". It matches the Rfam family "Bacterial small subunit ribosomal RNA", at positions 30 to 507 of the family's 1533-position model. The record is from RNAcentral.
AUUGAACGCUGGCGGCAGGCCUAACACAUGCAGGUCGAGCGGAUGAAGGGAGCUUGCUCCUGGAUUCAGCGGCGGACGGGUGAGUAAUGCCUAGGAAUCUGCCUGGUAGUGGGGGAUAACGUCCGGAAACGGGCGCUAAUACCGCAUACGUCCUGAGGGAGAAAGUGGGGGAUCUUCGGACCUCAUGCUAUCAGAUGAGCCUAGGUCGGAUUAGCUAGUUGGUGGGGUAAAGGCCUACCAAGGCGACGAUCCGUAACUGGUCUGAGAGGAUGAUCAGUCACACUGGAACUGAGACACGGUCCAGACUCCUACGGGAGGCAGCAGUGGGGAAUAUUGGACAAUGGGCGAAAGCCUGAUCCAGCCAUGCCGCGUGUGUGAAGAAGGUCUUCGGAUUGUAAAGCACUUUAAGUUGGGAGGAAGGGCAGUAAGUUAAUACCUUGCUGUUUUGACGUUACCAACAGAAUAAGCACCGGUUAACUUCGUG